Long non-coding RNA from Octopus sinensis (East Asian common octopus), 746 nucleotides. RefSeq lists it as uncharacterized. Lineage: Eukaryota; Metazoa; Mollusca; Cephalopoda; Octopoda; Octopodidae. The record is from RefSeq and is a predicted model, not a curated record. The transcript is spliced from 3 exons.
CAGAACUGCGUAGAUGAUUAUCGCCUAAUCAAAUUUGAAGUAAUUGUUUUGGGAAAUAUUGCAGGAUAUUUACUCUGGUCUGUUCCAUUACACUGUCCUCGGAUAUUUGGGCAGAGGCACCUUCGGACAGGUCGCAGUGGCCUUGCAACACGAGAAAAAGAGAUACGUGGCCAUCAAAGUGCUCAGAAAGCAGGCAUCGUAUAGAAGACAGGGAAUGCUCGAGAUAUCGUUUCUAAAAAUGUUCCAAUCAACCGACCCAUUAAACGGAAAUGGGCACUUAAUUUCGCUUUUGGACGACUUUGAGCACCAGGGACACAUCUUCAUUGUCUGUGAAUUGCUCUCGCAAAAUCUGUACGAGUUUAUGAAUGCGUUCAAAUCGGUGCCUCUUUACGGAAUCAGAGCAAUCACAUUCCAAGUAGACAUUUUGCCAAAUAUUUUAGAUUCUCAAAGCUCUAAUUACACUGUCCAGUUGUGGAAUUGUCCACGCCGAUCUAAAACCGGAGAAUAUAAUGAUCGUCAACCACCAGAAGUAUCCUUUUUGGGUGAAGAUCAUUGACUUUGGUUCCGCCAUUUCAAGGUCCCAGAACGAAAUUCCGUCGUACCUCCAAUCACGAUACUACAGAGCCCCGGAAGUGAUUAUUGGGUGCAAGUACGGGAACGCGAUUGACAUGUGGUCACUUGGGUGCAUUAUGGGAGAGCUCGUGACUAACUGGGCAAUCUUUCCGGGCUCCAAUCAGUAUGAACAG